Molecule: small RNA, 118 nt
Filed under: Drosophila guanche
Lineage: Eukaryota; Metazoa; Arthropoda; Insecta; Diptera; Drosophilidae
Source: RNAcentral
ACACUGCUGCUGCUGCAGCGGCCGCUGCUGCCGCCGCCGCUGCCACGGCCACCGCAGACUGAUCGGUGACUCCCUGCUGCUGCUGUUGUUGCUGCUGCUGCUGCAGUUGCUGCUGGUU